AAAGUUUAAUUUUAGCUUAAAAUUUGGUUGUUUUAUUUAUUUAUAUGCGAUUUAUUAGGUUAAGAUAAUUUUAGAAAGAUUUUUAAUUGAAGCAGUAUAUAGAAUUAAGUAUUAAGGGGACUUAGACUUAGAGAUUAUUUUAUAGCACAGACUAAAUUUGUGCCAGCAGUUGCGGUUACACAGAUUGUGCGGGUCAAUUUUAUUUAAUUUAAUUAAAUGUAAAAUAUUUUAGGUGAAAUUUAAAUUUAUUAGGUGAAAUUUUAAAUUUGGUUUUUCUAUUAAAGUGUUAUUGAAGUUAGGAAAUUUCUAUUUAAACUAGGAUUAGAUACCCUAUUAUUGGAAAAGUUAAUUUGUUAUUAAAAUUACUAAUAGUUAUGGUCUUUAAAAUUAAAAAAUUUGGCGGUAUUUUAGUCUAUUCAGAGGAACCUGUUUCAUAAUUGAUAAUCCACGAUAAGUUUUACUUUAAAUUUAAAUUUGUAUAUCGCCGUAGUUUGAAUAUUCUAUAAGGAGAGGAAUAUUCAAGGUUCUAAAAUAAGAAGGAAUUCAGGUCAAGGUGCAGUUGAUUUUAAAGUAGGAAUGGGUUACAUUGUUAAUAUGUUUGGUCUUAGAACUUGAAAAGUCUAGGUAAAUUGGAUUUGAUAGUAAUUUGAUAUAUUUAUUUCAGAUGAUUUUGCUCUAAAAUAUGCACAUAUCGCCCGUCACUUUCACUUAAGGUGAAAUAAGUCGUAACAGAGUAGGCCUAUUGGAAAAUGGGCCUGGAAUG
This 763-nucleotide non-coding RNA is filed under the name Hycleus scutellatus. Lineage: Eukaryota; Metazoa; Arthropoda; Insecta; Coleoptera; Meloidae. The record is from RNAcentral.